UUCUUUUAUUAUCUUCCCCCGCCCUUUUUUUUUUUGAAAUAUAACAUUUACUUAUGGUAAAAAACACAAAAUGUUAAGUGUGCAACUUGAACUUGCUCAUAUGUACAAACCAGUGUAAAUAACUGCCCAAAUUAUAUACAGAGUAUUUCAGCACCCUUGAAGGUUCCCUGGUGUCCCUUUUCAGUCAGUAACCACAGCCCUCUCACAUCCCCUCAAUCCUGCUCAGGAGUACCACUAAUCUGAAUUAUAUUCCCAUAGAUUAGUUUUGUCUCUUCUUCAACUUCAAAUAAAUAGAAUCACACAAUGUGGACUGUUUCAUGUAGCUUCUUUCACUCAACAUUGUGUCUGCAAGAGUUAGUUACAUGAUGCAUGUAAACAUAGUCGUCUUCAUUGUGGUAUAGGAUUACAUUAUACAAAUAUAGCACAGUUUACCCAUUCUUCUGGACAUUUGGGUUGUUUUUUAGGUUUGGGCUACUAUGAUACAGCUGCAAUGAGCAUUAUGGUAUAUGCUUUUUGGUGGAUGUAAAUACACAUGCAGGAUUGCUUAGAAAUAAGGUAUGUUUAACUUUAGAAAGUACUACAUAACAUUUUCCCAAAGUGGUUAUACUAAUUUAUACUCCAAUCAGCAAUGUAAAAAAGGUCUAGUUGUUCCACAUCCUCACCAACACUUGCUAUUCUCAGUCUGUUUUAUUUUAGCCAUUCUGCAGAUGUAUAGUGUUAUCUAGAUUUAAUUUGCCUCACACUUUCACUUUUUCAUUGACAUUGACUUUUUCAUUGUAUUCUGUUCAUGAUAAAUGGUUAGUUUCCGAAGUGUCCAUAACAAUAAUUUAAAAAAUCUAACCCUUUAGCUUCUCUGCUGCCUGAUGCUAUUUUGGUGGGGUGGGAGCACACAUGGAGAUUUGAUUUCCUCUUUUGUAAGAUGUUCAAGUAUUUUGUGUAUUUUAAAAUCAGUUGUCUUUAUUGAUUUGUAGGAAUUCUUUCUCUAUUCUGGACACAAGUGCUUUCUUGGAGGCCUAACAGAAACCAGCCUUUUUGAAAGACUCCACCACUGAUAUGGACCAACCACCUGCCACUGCCCCUCCCUUUUGGCACAACAACCGACCAGCAUUCCUUCCUGAUAAGAAACCACCAACCACCGCUCUGGCCAGUCUACAGAGAAUGCAGUAGUGAGGGUUUUCAGGUCCUCUGCUUCACUUUUUAACAUCCAAGGGCUGAAAACUGCACCACUGGAUCAUGCUAACACUGCCAUUUUUGAACAUGGGUCCCAUAGAAGGGCAUGAAGUUCAAUUGCACAUGCUCAUGUUUCCUGUUUCAUAAAUAUUCAUGACUCCUCCUAUAGCUUGUUGAAUAUGUACAUUUGACCACCUCGCUCAGCCGGAAUUCCCGUCUUAUUCUCCCCUCCCUCAAAGUAUCUGUUUCUGGCUUCUCGUUGGAGGCUGUGCUUCCCAGCCUGUCAAAAUGGCCACCCUGCAGGCUGCAACCCUUUAUGAAAAAUAAAGCUCUCCUUUACAAAUUUAUGAACCUCAUCAUUCCUCAGUUGACACAAGUGAUUCUAUAUCUACCCAGUUCCUUUGAAAUAAUAGCAUUUCAUUGCAAAAGAGACUCUACUGGUUGGCUAUGGUUAUGUUUAAAAGAAAGAGAGACCUGCCUUCUGUGGAGGUAUGUGCUGGUUUUAUAAGCAAGACAGGAAAUUUAAAACCUGGCUGUUUGUCACAAAAUAACCCUUACUCAAUAAAAUUGUUUUGAAUUAAGAAUUUUAAUCUUCCCAGCAACCUUUAUUCUCAUUUAACUCCUUCUAAACUAAUCUGUACAUCGUAAUAUUCUUGUUGUACAAGAAAUGGUGAACUGGUUUGAAGAUUUUCCAAUUUUUAAAAAUCUUCCUGAUUCUAGUGUCUUCAUACUUUCACUGUUAUAAGGAAAAUGUGCUCUCAUAGGAAUGAAAUGGGGUAGGAGGACGGGCGAGAAUAACACCAUUGCUUUUGUAUCAAUUAAAAGAUUCAGAUAUCAAUAGACUUUGUUACAAUAACCCCCAAAUAAUUUUAUGUUAAUGAUAUAGAUCUUGGGGAGUAAUCAUUAUUAAUCUUCCAAAUGUUCACUUCUUAAUUCUGAAUGCAAGAAUUGAGAAGAUUUUUUUUGUGUGUGAGGGCAGAGGAAAUGCUUUGGAGGUGGAGGACCUGACCACAAAGGUAGGUUUAAGGCUAGGCUAUCUCUAGCUUGGUUCAAAUUUUAACUUUAAAAAUAAAGUGUGAGCAAUUUUUGAAACCUUUAAAACAAAGAUGUCUUAAUGUGACCAUUUUCCUGGGAUGGAUUAUGUUGAAUAAGUAUAGAGGAAACAUAAAACCAAAGGAGUAGGUAGCAGUGCCAAUGGAAAAAUCUACCAAAACUGAAGUCACCUGGCUCUGAAAUCGUAAGUCAAUGAGAGAAUAUGAUUUUUUUUUUAAGUUGCCCGUACAUAGUACCUUCUUGGAUCACGUGUUCCAGGCCACCAGUAGCUUUUCCUCAUGAGUUUUAGAUAAGUAAAGGUUCUGCUAGCAGCCUUAAAGAUGUGUUUGUGCCAUUAGGACAUAUGGGAGAGAAUAUUCCAGGGGCCAGGGCAUUUCUCUGAACUGACAAUCAGUUGUGCCUAGUUUCUAGGCCACAACUGAAACACGAUGAAGAAGUCUGAGCUGUUAGCCCAAAGGCUAGUAGCAGUGAUUUAUUUCUACUUCAACGUCAACACUAUCUUAUUGUAUUUAUCUAUGUAGACUCCUAAAAAUGAGGUUCUAAAGAAAACUAUACUUCAACAAAGAAAGCCCAAGGGUGACACACCACGUUUAUUCCAAACCUAUUCAUGGUCCAUCUCCUAACUUCAAACCAGCAGCCUAGCAGAGACUAACCCCAAAACAGUUUUAUGAGGAAAGAGAAAGGGUCAUUAAUAACUUCCGAGGCAGGGAUUGAACAAUGAGGAUAAAUGUCCUCUUUCCCAGAGAGUUCUGUGAGAUUUGAGGAAGCUAUUAUUUAAAGUUCAAAAAGCUACAUAUUAAAAUUCAUCUAGAUAGGCAAGAAGGUGAGACUCAGUCACAUCUGUUGUCCUUCAGGCAAACAACUUGCUGCUUUUUUAUAUGACAGUAAAGUUAUUAUGAAAGUUACCGGCUGCAACAGGCAUAAUUAGCCUAAUUCAGUACUAUCUUCUGCCUAGUGCCCGAUGAAUAAAGGCAUGGCACAAAGCGAAAUGGACCCAGCAACUAUAGAACCAGCCUCUGGGUGUUUCAUAUC
Molecule: non-coding RNA, 3255 nt
Organism: Chlorocebus sabaeus (green monkey)
Lineage: Eukaryota; Metazoa; Chordata; Mammalia; Primates; Cercopithecidae
Source: RefSeq, a predicted model, not a curated record